GUCCAGGGGCGGGAAUCGAACCCACAACGUUCCGCUUACCGGGCAGAUGCCAUGUCCACUAGGUUACCCUGGA
This 73-nucleotide transfer RNA is filed under the name Cordylochernes scorpioides. Its description in RNAcentral is "tRNA-Thr". Lineage: Eukaryota; Metazoa; Arthropoda; Arachnida; Pseudoscorpiones; Chernetidae. The record is from RNAcentral.